Molecule: ribosomal RNA, 1321 nt
Filed under: Athyma libnites
Lineage: Eukaryota; Metazoa; Arthropoda; Insecta; Lepidoptera; Nymphalidae
Description: 16S ribosomal RNA
Rfam family: Archaeal large subunit ribosomal RNA (bases 1069-1227)
Source: RNAcentral
GGGGGAAAAUUAAUAAAAUAUAAAUAAUAAAAAAAUUUUUAAUGUUGGGGGAUAUUAAAGUAUUUUUUUAAAAAAAAAUAAAUUAUUUUAUAGUAAAUUAGUAUUGAAAAAUAAAUUUGAAAUAAUUGAAAAAUAAAUUAAUAAAAAAGUAAUUUUUAUUUAAUGUAUCUUGUGUAUCAGAGUUUAUUAAAAAAWAUUUUUUAAAUAAAAAAAUCUCGAAUUUAAAAGAGUUAAUUAAUUAUAAAAGUUAAUGUAGAAAAAUUAUUUUAAAUAAUUAAUUUGAAAUGAAAUGUUAAUCGUUUUUAAAGAUAUCUAGUUAUUUUAGAAAAAAAUUUAAUUUAAAAUUUAAAAUAUUUUAUUAUUAAAUAUAAUUAAUAAUAAAAUAUUUAAAAUUAAAUAUAUUAAGGGAUAAGCUUUAAUAUAAAAAUUUAUAAUAAAAUAUAUAAAAUAUAAAAAUUUUAAAAUUUAUAUUGUUUAAAAAUUAUAAUUUAUUAUAAAAAAUUUUAUAAAUAAUAAAAUUUAAUUUAAAGUUUAAUUUUGUAUAAAAUAAUAAUUUUUAAUAAAAUAAAAUUAGAAAUAAUGAURAAAUUAGUAUAUUAAAAUAAAAAUAUAAUUUAAUUAAUAAAAAUUAAAUUAAAGGAAUUCGGCAAAAAUUUAUGUUCACUUGUUUAACAAAAACAUGUCUUUUAGAAAAUAAUUUAAAGUCUGAUCUGCCCACUGAUAUUAUAUUAAAGGGCUGCAGUAUAUUGACUGUACAAAGGUAGCAUAAUCAAUAGUCUUUUAAUUGAAGACUUGUAUGAAAGAUUUGAUGAGAUAUAAACUGUCUCUAAUUUAUAGAUAAAAUUUAAUUUUUUAGUUAAAAAGCUAAAAUAAGUUUAAAAGACGAGAAGACCCUAUAGAGUUUUAUGUUAAUUUUAUUUGAGAUUAAAUAUAUAAUUAAAAGUCAAAAUUAAGAAUAAUAUUUUGUUGGGGUGAUAAAAAAAUUUAUUUAACUUUUUUUAAAAAAUUUACAUAAAUAAGUGAAUAAUUGAUCCAUUAGUUAUGAUUAAAAGAAAAAAUUACCUUAGGGAUAACAGCGUAAUAUUUUUUUCUAGUACGAAUAGAAAAAAAAGUUUGCGACCUCGAUGUUGGAUUAAGAUAAAAUUUAAAUGCAAAAGUUUAAAAUUUUGAUCUGUUCGAUCAUUAAAAUCUUACAUGAUCUGAGUUCAAACCGGUGUGAGCCAGGUUGGUUUCUAUCUUUAAAAUAAUAAAAUAUUUUAGUACGAAAGGAUCAAAUAUUUUUAAUAAUUAAAUUUUAAUGAAUAUUAUUAAUUAGUGUUAA